AGUGAACGCUGGCGGUAGGCCUAACACAUGCAAGUCGAACGGCAGCACAGGAGAGCUUGCUCUCUGGGUGGCGAGUGGCGGACGGGUGAGGAAUACAUCGGAAUCUACUCUGUCGUGGGGGAUAACGUAGGGAAACUUACGCUAAUACCGCAUACGACCUACGGGUGAAAGCAGGGGACCUUCGGGCCUUGCGCGAUUGAAUGAGCCGAUGUCGGAUUAGCUAGUUGGCGGGGUAAAGGCCCACCAAGGCGACGAUCCGUAGAUGGUCUGAGAGGAUGAUCAACCACACUGGAACUGGGACACGGUCCAGACUCCUACGGGAGGCAGCAGUGGGGAAUAUUGGACAAUGGGCGCAAGCCUGAUCCAGCCAUACCGCGUGGGUGAAGAAGGCCUUCGGGUUGUAAAGCCCUUUUGUUGGGAAAGAAAUCCAGCUGGCUAAUACCCGGUUGGGAUGACGGUACCCAAAGAAUAAGCACCGGCUAACUUCGUGCCAGCCGCCGCGGUAA
RNAcentral lists this ribosomal RNA (506 nucleotides) under uncultured bacterium. RNAcentral describes it as "partial 16S ribosomal RNA". It matches the Rfam family "Bacterial small subunit ribosomal RNA", at positions 29 to 523 of the family's 1533-position model. The record is from RNAcentral.